RNAcentral lists this ribosomal RNA (460 nucleotides) under uncultured bacterium. Its description in RNAcentral is "partial 16S ribosomal RNA". It matches the Rfam family "Bacterial small subunit ribosomal RNA", at positions 338 to 795 of the family's 1533-position model. The record is from RNAcentral.
CCUACGGGAGGCAGCAGUGAGGAAUAUUGGUCAAUGGACGAGAGUCUGAACCAGCCAAGUAGCGUGAAGGAUGACUGCCCUAUGGGUUGUAAACUUCUUUUAUAUGGGAAUAAAUUGUUCCACGUGUGGGAUUUUGUAUGUACCAUAUGAAUAAGGAUCGGCUAACUCCGUGCCAGCAGACGCGGUAAUACGGAGGAUCCGAGCGUUAUCCGGUUUUGUUGGGUUUAAAGGGAGUGGAGGUGGAUUUGUAAGUCAGUUGUGAAAGUUCGCGGCUCAACCGUAACAUUGCAUUUGAAACUGGCAGUCUUGAGUACAGUAGAGGUGGGCGGAAUUCGAGGUGUAGCGGUGAAAUGCUUAGAUAUAACGAAGAACUCCGAUGGCGAAGGCAGCUCACUGGACUGAAACUGACACUGAGGCUCGAAAGUGUGGGUAUCAAACAGGAUUAGAUACCCGAGUAGUC